UGGGGAAUAUUGCACAAUGGGGGAAACCCUGAUGCAGCGACGCCGCGUGAACGAAGAAGGUAUUCGUAUCGUAAAGUUCUGUCCUAUGGGAAGAUAAUGACAGUACCAUAGAAGAAAGCUCCGGCUAAAUACGUGCCAGCAGCCGCGGUAAUACGUAUGGAGUGAGCGUUGUCCGGAAUUAUUGGGCGUAAAGGGUACGCAGGCGGUUUAAUAAGUCGAAUGUUAAAGAUCGGGGCUCAACCCCGCAAAGCAUUGGAAACUGAUAAACUUGAGUAGUGGAGAGGAAAGUGGAAUUCCUAGUGUAGUGGUGAAAUACGUAGAUAUUAGGAGGAAUACCAGUAGCGAAGGCGACUUUCUGGACACAAACUGACGCUGAGGUACGAAAGCGUGGGGAGCAAACAGG
Molecule: ribosomal RNA, 403 nt
Filed under: bacterium
Lineage: Bacteria
Description: partial 16S ribosomal RNA
Rfam family: Bacterial small subunit ribosomal RNA
Source: RNAcentral